GAUGUGAAAGCCACGGCUCAGCCCGUGGAAGGUCAUUGGAAACUGGGGAACUUGGUGCAGAAGGAAGGUAAAAUUCAAGUGUAGCAGUGAAAUGCGUAGAGAUUUGGAGAACACCCAGUGGCAGGCGACUUUGGUCUGUAACUGACACUGGCGCAGAAAGCGUAGAACAAACGGAUUAGAUACCUGGUAGUCCACAUAAUAAACGAUGAGUGCUAAGUGUUAGAGGUUUCACCAUUUAGUGCUUACCUUCUUGCAUUAAGCACUCCGCCUGAGUACGACGCAGGCUGAGCUCAAAGGAAUUGGGGCGGGGCCCGCACAAGCGGUGGAACAUGUGGAUUUAAUUCGAAGCAACACGAAGAGACUGCCUGGAAUCUUGACAUCCUCUGACAACCCUAGAGAUGGGAACUUCGGGGGGACAGAGUGACAGGUGGUGCAUGGUUGUCGUCUGGCUCGUGUCGUGAGAUGUUGAGUUAAGUCCCCCAACAAAGCGCCUUAUGAUAAUCUUAGUUGCCAGCAUUCAGUUGGAAGCACCUGGAGUGACUGCAGUGACAAACCGGAGGAAAGUAGGGAUGACGUCAAUCAUCAUGCCCCUUAUGACCUAGGCUACGUGCUACAAUGGAUUAGUACAAAGGGCUAUGACCUGCGAAGGUAACCGAUCCAUAAAAGCCAUUCUCGGUUCGGAUUUGAGCUGCUGCUCGCGCCACCAUGAAGCCGAAUCGCUAGUAAUCGCGGAUCAGCAUGCCGCGGUGAAUACGUUCAGGCCUUGCUUACACACCAAAUCACACCACGAGAGUUUAACACGAAGUCGGUGAGUGAACUGUGGAGCCCGGCCGCCUAGGUGGGACAGAUGAUUAGAGGUGAAGUCGUAACAAGGUAGCCGUAUCGGAAAGGUGCGGCUGGAUCACCUCCUUU
This 912-nucleotide ribosomal RNA is filed under the name Peribacillus frigoritolerans. RNAcentral's name for it is "bacterial SSU rRNA". It matches the Rfam family "Bacterial small subunit ribosomal RNA", at positions 591 to 1533 of the family's 1533-position model. Lineage: Bacteria; Bacillati; Bacillota; Bacilli; Caryophanales; Bacillaceae. The record is from RNAcentral.